This 200-nucleotide long non-coding RNA is filed under the name Brassica napus (rape). Its description in RNAcentral is "long non-coding RNA (BNAP_LNC026473)". Lineage: Eukaryota; Viridiplantae; Streptophyta; Magnoliopsida; Brassicales; Brassicaceae. The record is from RNAcentral.
AUGGUGAACAAAUUUUUGGCUACAGGUGCUAUGGAUUCAAGGUUAAAUACUACUAAUAUCUGUAUGAUUCCAAAGACAGAGAGACCUACAAGAAUGACGGAACUGAGACCGAUAAGUCUAUGUAAUGUGGGUUACAAGAUUAUUUCGAAAGUUCUGUGUCAACGACUGAAAAUUUGUCUCCCUAGUCUAGUAUCAGAGAC